ACAAAACAAAAAUUAUCAGGCAGAAGCGGGGGACCCACCUUUCGGGCUCACCACCUAGGAGCCCUUGGGGUUAAGUUGCAGGCAACUGUGACCGAGUGACUUCAUACUCGAACCCGACAGCUCACCUCGUUCGGCAAUGGAGGAAAA
RNAcentral lists this small RNA (147 nucleotides) under Rothia nasimurium. Its description in RNAcentral is "c-di-AMP sequence". It matches the Rfam family "c-di-AMP riboswitch aptamer (ydaO/yuaA leader)". From Rfam's summary of the family: This family represents a conserved RNA structure found upstream of the ydaO and yuaA genes in Bacillus subtilis and related genes in other bacteria. The ydaO/yuaA element is thought to act as a genetic "off" switch for the ydaO and yuaA genes in its native state. Lineage: Bacteria; Bacillati; Actinomycetota; Actinomycetes; Micrococcales; Micrococcaceae. The record is from Rfam by way of RNAcentral.